AGAGUUUGAUCCUGGCUCAGCGCGAACGCUGGCGGCAUGGCUAGAACAUGCAAGUCGAACGCGAAAGCAUCUUCGGGUGCAAGUAGAGUGGCGAAAGGGCGAGGAAUACGUUCCUACAUACCCUCAGGUCAGGGAUAGCCCAGGGAAACUUGGAUUAAUACCUGAUGUGGUCUUCGGAUCAAAGACUUCGGUCGCCAGAGGAGUGGGGAACGCCCUAUCAGGUUGUUGGUGGGGUAAAGGCUCACCAAGCCUUAGACGGGUAGCGGGUGUGAGAGCAUGACCCGCCGCAUCGGGACUGAGACACUGCCCGGACUCCUACGGGAGGCUGCAGUAACGAAUCUUCCGCAAUGCGCGAAAGCGUGACGGAGCAAUGCCGCGUGUAGGAUGAAGCUUUUCGGAGUGUAAACUACUGUCAGGGUUCAGCAACACAAUGAGCAGACCCAAAGGAAGGGCCGGCUAACUUCGUGCCAGCAGCCGCGGUAAUACGAAGGGCCCGAGCGUUGCGCGGAAUCAUUGGGCUUAAAGCGUACGCAGGCGGGCGCGCAGGCGUUUUGUGAAAUCCCUCGGCUCAACCGAGGAACUGCUUGACGAACCGCGCGUCUUGAGACAAGAAGGGGCUGUCGGAACGAUAGGUGGAGUGGUGAAAUGCGCUGAUAUCUAUCGGAACGCCGAAGGAGAAAUCAGGCAGCUGGGCUUGUU
This 699-nucleotide ribosomal RNA is filed under the name uncultured bacterium. Its description in RNAcentral is "bacterial SSU rRNA". It matches the Rfam family "Bacterial small subunit ribosomal RNA", at positions 8 to 739 of the family's 1533-position model. The record is from RNAcentral.